UAUAUAUAUCGACUUUGAUGCCACUCAUUUAUUUUCGAUGACUGGACCUCUAAAUCGACGAUCGUCAAUGUUAAAUAUGAUCUAUACCACUUGAAGUAUUUAGAAAUCAAAUUUUAAAAUUUUUCAACAUCAUCGAUCUAAUGAUCGAAGUGUUUCAAAAUUUAUAAUUUUAAUGGUCAAUAUGAGGCAUUUUUUCGUUUAAUGUUGUAAAGAUAUUUAAAUCAAUUGAAUUUUAAUUAGAAAGUUUUUUAAAAUAUUUAAAACAAGAUCUAUACUUUUGAUUUUGAUUACAGAAUUCCUAUCAUUACUUUUUAAAAAAUAUGUAUUUCUAGUUAUUUAUUUUUAUGUCCACUUGAUGGAUAAGAGAACAAUAUUAAAAAAUCAUGAAAUUUUGGUUUUUAAAUAUUUCAAGUGAUAUAGAUCAUAUUCAACGUGCCCAUUAUCGAUUUGAAAACUCCAUUGUCGGAAACAAAUGGAUAGCAAGAAAACCCGUUUGCUAUAGCAUUACAGCUCAACUCUCUCUCUCUCUAUAUGAAGAGGGAUAAUUAAUCAAAAUGCCAUAUUUAAUUAAAUGAGCAAAUUCUUUGUUCUUUUGUAGGCGAGGUUGGGGAGGCAAGUGCUCUCAAUGCUAGAUUUUGAGUCAAAUGAAGAACACGGCAGGUCCAAGGAGACCACAACAGUUGAAGAACUUGUAGCAAUGGACUAUGUUGGGGCGCAACGAGGACCAUCGAUCCAUAACUAACAGUGAAUAUGUGAAAAAUCAAAAUUUUCGAAAGAAAGGAUAUAUGUAUGGUGCUAUUAAUAGAGUUAUUUAUACUAUGCGUAGAGUAGAUAUAAUGAAUAUAGUUAAAUUCAAUCAGUUACUUUGAUUAGAUUUAAUAUAUGUAUCUCCUAAUCAAUAGUAACAUCAGCUCUGAUAAUAUCGUUAUUCUUUGAGGAAUAUUGAGAAGGG
Molecule: long non-coding RNA, 952 nt
Filed under: Ananas comosus (pineapple)
Lineage: Eukaryota; Viridiplantae; Streptophyta; Magnoliopsida; Poales; Bromeliaceae
Description: long non-coding RNA (ACOM_LNC015421)
Source: RNAcentral